UCGAGAAUUUUUCUCAAUGGGGGCAACCCUGAAGGAGCGACGCCGCGUGGAGGAUGAAGGCUUUCGGGUUGUAAACUCCUGUCAUUUGAGAACAAGUGUCGGCAAGUAACUACUGCCGACUUGAUAGUAUCAGAAGAGGAAGAGACGGCUAACUCUGUGCCAGCAGCCGCGGUAAUACAGAGGUCUCAAGCGUUGUUCGGAUUCAUUGGGCGUAAAGGGUGCGUAGGUGGCGUGGUAAGUCGGGUGUGAAAUUUCGGAGCUUAACUCCGAAACUGCAUUCGAUACUGCCGUGCUUGAGGACUGGAGAGGAGACUGGAAUUUACGGUGUAGCAGUGAAAUGCGUAGAGAUCGUAAGGAAGACCAGUGGCGAAGGCGGGUCUCUGGACAGUUCCUGACACUGAGGCACGAAGGCCAGGGGAGCAAACGGGAUUAGAUACCCCCGUAGUCC
RNAcentral lists this ribosomal RNA (448 nucleotides) under uncultured bacterium. RNAcentral describes it as "bacterial SSU rRNA". It matches the Rfam family "Bacterial small subunit ribosomal RNA", at positions 355 to 796 of the family's 1533-position model. The record is from RNAcentral.